This is a non-coding RNA of Oryctolagus cuniculus (rabbit), 527 nucleotides long. The record is from RefSeq and is a predicted model, not a curated record. Lineage: Eukaryota; Metazoa; Chordata; Mammalia; Lagomorpha; Leporidae.
CUGGCCUCUGGCCCACUUUCACCUGACUCCCGGGGUCUGUGUGGUGACCCCAAGCUUCUUGCCCCCACCGCCCUCCACUUCUCAAUGAAUCCUCUCAGAAAAUGAAUGGACCUCAACAUGCCUCAUCUGCUACAAAGAACUGCCCACAGUUCAGUCACGCUCUGCACUAGGAUCUGGAUGCCUGAAGACAGGGACCACACCUCGCACCACCACCGGUGAAGACAACGACUUUUGGAACAUAGCCACACACAGAAACUGUUCUUAUCAAGCAGACAAGAGGCGACCUGGGACAACCUCAUCCCUACUGGAGUGCCUGCUGCAAGUACUGCUCCUGAUGCACCCCGGUGGCUCCAUUACUCGGAUUCCUGUCACAGAGGAGAUGCAGACUGACUUCUGGGACCCUCGCUUGGGCCUGGCCCAGCUCUGGCUAUCACAGGCACUGGGGGAUGAACCAGCAGCUGAAGAAUCUUUCUCCUGUUCCAUCUCUCCAUCUUUUCCAAUAAGAUGCAAAUAAACAAAAACAUUGU